UACGUAGGUGGCGAGCGUUGUCCGGAUUUAUUGGGUUUAAAGGGUGCGUAGGCGGGAUGCCAAGUCAGCGGUAAAAAUGCGGUGCUCAACGCCGUCGAGCCGUUGAAACUGGCGUUCUUGAGUGGGCGAGAAGUAUGCGGAAUGCGUGGUGUAGCGGUGAAAUGCAUAGAUAUCACGCAGAACUCCGAUUGCGAAGGCAGCAUACCGGCGCCCUACUGACGCUGAGGCACGAAAGCGUGGGUAUCGAACAGG
This 252-nucleotide ribosomal RNA is filed under the name uncultured bacterium. RNAcentral's name for it is "partial 16S ribosomal RNA". It matches the Rfam family "Bacterial small subunit ribosomal RNA", at positions 524 to 776 of the family's 1533-position model. The record is from RNAcentral.